This 98-nucleotide ribosomal RNA is filed under the name Muribacter muris. RNAcentral's name for it is "partial 16S ribosomal RNA". The stretch from base 1 to 86 matches the Rfam family "Bacterial small subunit ribosomal RNA", at positions 1448 to 1533 of the family's 1533-position model. The record is from RNAcentral. Lineage: Bacteria; Pseudomonadati; Pseudomonadota; Gammaproteobacteria; Pasteurellales; Pasteurellaceae.
GGGCGUUCACCACGGUAUGAUUCAUGACUGGGGUGAAGUCGUAACAAGGUAACCGUAGGGGAACCUGCGGUUGGAUCACCUCCUUACCUUAAAUGAAG